This 420-nucleotide ribosomal RNA is filed under the name bacterium. Its description in RNAcentral is "partial 16S ribosomal RNA". It matches the Rfam family "Bacterial small subunit ribosomal RNA", at positions 355 to 776 of the family's 1533-position model. The record is from RNAcentral.
UGGGGGAUAUUGCACAAUGGGCGAAAGCCUGAUGCAGCGACGCCGCGUGGGGGAUGAAGGCUUUCGGGUUGUAAACCUCUUUCGCUAUCGAACAAGGCCCGCUUAGGGUGGGUUGAGGGUAGGUGGAGAAGAAGCGCCGGCUAACUACGUGCCAGCAGCCGCGGUAAUACGUAGGGCGCGAGCGUUGUCCGGAAUUAUUGGGCGUAAAGGGCUUGUAGGCGGCUUGUUGCGCCUGCUGUGAAAACGCGGGGCUUAACUUCGCGCGUGCAGUGGGUACGGGCAGGCUUGAGUGUGGUAGGGGUGACUGGAAUUCCAGGUGUAGCGGUGGAAUGCGCAGAUAUCUGGAGGAACACCGAUGGCGAAGGCAGGUCACUGGGCCAUUACUGACGCUGAGGAGCGAAAGCUUGGGUAGCGAACAGG